RNAcentral lists this ribosomal RNA (1692 nucleotides) under Ctenochaetus striatus (striated surgeonfish). RNAcentral's name for it is "16S ribosomal RNA". The stretch from base 98 to 1612 matches the Rfam family "Bacterial large subunit ribosomal RNA". Lineage: Eukaryota; Metazoa; Chordata; Actinopteri; Acanthuriformes; Acanthuridae. The record is from RNAcentral.
UGCUAAACAGCUAACCCAAAACUCAAAAAACAACAAACCCAUAUAAAUAACCCCAAAAACUCUAAUAAAACACUAAACAAACCAUUUUUCCCCCUUAGUAUAGGUGAUAGAAAAGGACCUUAGGAGUAACAGAAAAAGUACCGCAAGGGAAUGCUGAAAGAGAAAUGAAAUAACCCAGUCAAGCCAAUAAAAGCAGAGAUUUAACCUCGUACCUUUUGCAUCAUGAUUUAGCCAGAAACAAUACAAGCAAAGUGAACUUUAGUUUGAAACCCCGAAACUAAGUGAGCUACUCCAAGACAGCCUAUUAAUAGGGCAAACCCGUCUCUGUGGCAAAAGAGUGGGAAGAGCUUUGAGUAGAGGUGACAGACCUAUCGAACUUAGUUAUAGCUGGUUGCCCGAGAAUUGGAUAGAAGUUCAGCCUCUAAGCUUCUUUACUCCCCUGUCUUGACCCCGCCAGACGCUUAAGAAACUAAGAGAGUUAGUCAAGGGGGGUACAGCCCCCUUGACACAAGAUACAACUUUCCCAGGAGGGUAAAGAUCAUAAUUAAACAAGGUAAAAUAUCUCAGUGGGCCUAAAAGCAGCCACCCGAACAGAAAGCGUUAAAGCUCAGAUAUAUCCGCCACCCUUAAAUCCCGAUAACUUACUCUUAACCCCCUAAUUUUACCGGGCCUUCCCAUGCAUUCAUGGGAGCGAUUAUGCUAAUAUGAGUAAUAAGAGACCCCAACCUCUCUCCCAGCAUACGUGUAAAUCGGAACGGACCUCCCACCGAAUCUUAACGGCCCCAAAAUCAAAGAGGGAACUGAAUUACAAACCCAACAACUAGAAAAACACUCAACCAACAACCGUUAACCCUACACUGGCAUGCACCCAUGGAAAGACUAAAAGAAAAAGAAGGAACUCGGCAAACACACUAGGCCUCGCCUGUUUACCAAAAACAUCGCCUCUUGCAAAAAUAACAAAUAAGAGGUCCCGCCUGCCCUGUGACUAUAUGUUUAACGGCCGCGGUAUUUUGACCGUGCGAAGGUAGCGCAAUCACUUGUCUUUUAAAUGGAGACCUGUAUGAAUGGCACAACGAGGGCUUAACUGUCUCCUUUUUCCAGUCAAUGAAAUUGAUCUCCCCGUGCAGAAGCGGGGAUACUUACAUAAGACGAGAAGACCCUAUGGAGCUUUAGACACCAAAGCAGACCAUGUUAAUCACCCCUAAAUAAAGGACCAAACAAUAUUGAACCCUGCCCUAAUGUCUUCGGUUGGGGCGACCACGGAGAAAUAAAAAACCCCCGCGUGGAACAGGGAUACUAUCCCCACAAUUACGAGCUUCCGCUCUAUCAAACAGAACCUCUGACCAGUCAGAUCCGGCAAUGCCGACCAACGGACCAAGUUACCCUAGGGAUAACAGCGCAAUCCCCUUUUAGAGCCCAUAUCGACAAGGGGGUUUACGACCUCGAUGUUGGAUCAGGACAUCCUAAUGGUGCAGCCGCUAUUAAGGGUUCGUUUGUUCAACGAUUAAAGUCCUACGUGAUCUGAGUUCAGACCGGAGUAAUCCAGGUCAGUUUCUAUCUAUGAUAUGAUCUUUUCUAGUACGAAAGGACCGAGAAGAAGAGGCCUCUACCCAGAGCACGCCCCAUCCUCACCUAAUGAAUACAACUAAAAUAGACAAAAGGACAUAUUUCUUUAACCAAAGAAAAUGGUAC